AGAGUUUGAUCCUGGCUCAGGAUGAACGCUGGCGGCAUGCCUAAGACAUGCAAGUCGAACGAGAUGGCCCAUUGAAGAUUGAGUGCUUGCACGAUUUCCGAUUUGGAUUCUCCAUCUAGUGGCGGACGGGUGAGUAACACGUGGGUGACCUACCUUUGAGUUUGGGACAACUACUGGAAACGGUAGCUAAUACCAAAUGAUAUACAGUUUCGUUUCUGUAUUAAAAGGCGCUUUACAGCGUCGCUCUUAGAUGGGCCUGCGGCGUAUUAGCUAGUUGGUGUGGUAAUGGCUCACCAAGGCGACGAUGCGUAGCCGGACUGAGAGGUUGAUCGGCCACAUUGGGACUGAGACACGGCCCAAACUCCUACGGGAGACAGCAGUUAGGAAUAUUCGUCAAUGGGGGAAACCCUGAACGAGCAAUGCCGCGUGAGUGAUGAAGGUCCUUUGGAUUGUAAAACUCUGUUGCAUGGGAAGAACGGUCAGACUAGGAAAUGAGUCUGAAGUGACGGUACCAUGCCAGAAAGCUCCGGCUAACUACGUGCCAGCAGCCGCGGUAAAACGUAGGUGGCAAGCGUUGUCCGGAAUUACUGGGUGUAAAGGGAGCGCAGGCGGAAGGACAAGUUGGAAGUGAAACCCACGGGCUCAACCCGUGAACUGCUUUCAAAACUGUUUUUCUUGAGUGGUGUAGAGGUAGGCGGAAUUCCCGGUGUAGCGGUGGAAUGCGUAGAUAUCGGGAGGAACACCAGUGGCGAAGGCGGCCUACUGGGGCACUAACUGACGCUGAGGCUCGAAAGCAUGGGUAGCAAACAGGAUUAGAUACCCUGGUAGUCCAUGCCGUAAACGAUGAUUACUAGGUGUGGGAGGAUUGACCCCUUCCGUGCCGCAGUUAACACAAUAAGUAAUCCACCUGGGGAGUACGACCGCAAGGUUGAAACUCAAAGGAAUUGACGGGGGCCCGCACAAGCAGUGGAGUAUGUGGUUUAAUUCGAAGCAACGCGAAGAACCUUACCAGGUCUUGACAUCGGAUGCACAGCUAAGAGAUUAGUGAAGCCCUUCGGGGCAUCCAGACAGGUGGUGCAUGGUUGUCGUCAGCUCGUGUCGUGAGAUGUUGGGUUAAGUCCCGCAACGAGCGCAACCCUUACUGUUAGUUACUACGCAAGAGGACUCUAGCAGGACUGCCGUUGACAAAACGGAGGAAGGUGGGGAUGACGUCAAAUCAUCAUGCCCUUUAUGACCUGGGCUACACACGUACUACAAUGGCGUUAAACAAAGAGAAGCGAAGCCGCGAGGUGGAGCAAACCUCAAAAACAACGUCCCAGUUCAGACUGCAGGCUGCAACUCGCCUGCACGAAGUCGGAAUUGCUAGUAAUCGCGGAUCAGCAUGCCGCGGUGAAUACGUUCCCGGGCCUUGCACACACCGCCCGUCA
RNAcentral lists this ribosomal RNA (1427 nucleotides) under uncultured bacterium. RNAcentral's name for it is "bacterial SSU rRNA". It matches the Rfam family "Bacterial small subunit ribosomal RNA". The record is from RNAcentral.